GAUGAACGCUAGCGGCAGGCUUAACACAUGCAAGUCGAGGGGUAGAAGGAGCUUGCUCCUUUGAGACCGGCGCACGGGUGCGUAACGCGUAUGCAAUCUACCUUUUGCAGAGGGAUAGCCCAGAGAAUUUGGAUUAAUACCUCAUAGUAUGUGAGGAUGGCAUCAUUUUCACAUUAAAGUCACAACGGCAAAAGAUGAGCAUGCGUCCCAUUAGCUAGUUGGUAAGGUAACGGCUUACCAAGGCUACGAUGGGUAGGGGUCCUGAGAGGGAGAUCCCCCACACUGGUACUGAGACACGGACCAGACUCCUACGGGAGGCAGCAGUGAGGAAUAUUGGUACAAUGGGCGCGAAGCCUCGAUCCAGCCAUGCCGCGUGCAGGA
RNAcentral lists this ribosomal RNA (381 nucleotides) under uncultured bacterium. RNAcentral describes it as "bacterial SSU rRNA". It matches the Rfam family "Bacterial small subunit ribosomal RNA", at positions 28 to 408 of the family's 1533-position model. The record is from RNAcentral.